RNAcentral lists this long non-coding RNA (2089 nucleotides) under Capra hircus (goat). RNAcentral's name for it is "lncRNA (ENSCHIG00010000516.1)". The record is from RNAcentral. Lineage: Eukaryota; Metazoa; Chordata; Mammalia; Artiodactyla; Bovidae.
GCUGUACCUAUUCAAGCUGAAACUAUUGUUAUUUUGAGAAACUUUGAUUCUAGUUCUCCGACUAUGGGCAUGAAAUCAGGCCAUGAGAACUCACCUCCUAGUAAGGAUUUGACUCUAUGGUACUUAAGGUCUCCACUUUUGAAUUGUCUUCCUAAUGUAGAAUUUAAUACAAUCCCCUGUUAUAAGUGUUUCUUGAACAAAAAUAUUAAUACAAUGAUACUCUGCAUUUUAAAUAUUUUCCUACUUUUUAUCAUCCAGUCCAGUUUCAAUGGAGCCAAUCUGUACACUGAGAUAUAUAAGUUUACACAGCAGAGAAAACCUUACAAAGACCAUUUCUGUAAUUGAAAAGUUUAGUAGUAGGCAUAAAACAAAGCAGAGAACUUCAUUUCACUACACUCUUCCUGUACUCAUUAAAAUGUUUAGGGCUGACUGAGACAGCUGAAUACAAUGGGAAAUGCUAAGUGUUUUUGUCUUUUUGUCUUUAUUAGCAUAUAUAAUGCUUCAGUUUGCUGAAAAUAUAGUUAGUCUUCAUUGCACAGUCUUUUCAAAAAUAUGUUAUCAUUACCUUUUCCAGUACUAUUGGAAUGAAAAAGAUGUUUCAUCUACUUAUUUAUAGAUUGUCCCAGUAUUGUUCUCCAGCAAUUUCUAAAGAAUAAGUUUUGAAGAGGUGCUUUGAGGUGCUUUGUUUUUUUACAUAAGACAAAAUCUGAGAGUGUUUUCAUACUUGGAUCAUUUGUUGACUGGGGCUGAAAUAUUAUUUAAUAAUAGAGAAACAAAUGAAGAUGAGGAGGAAAGGGCAAGACCAACUAUGGAUGCUCUAGUCAAUUUUCCACAGCAGUCACUUGGAGAACAUGCUUUGUUAUCUAAAGAAAUAAAAUCUUUCUAGCUCUCUCCAUUGCAUAAGGACAUCUGAAGGCCUAUUAUAAGAUUUUGCAAUAUGGGUGCUAGGAAACCAGAGUGAACAACAUGGUUUGUUUAAAUUAACAAAUUUACAUUUCUUCCCAGUCACAAGUCAUCUGCAAAAAUCAAUUUCACCUGAAGUUUUGCCCACGAUUUCCUUUCUCUAGGCUUACCUUUUAUUGUGCUGUGUUUGAGCAUGAAACAUAUAAUUAUUUUUGUGCAUGCCAUUUAUAAACUGAUCAGAAAUGGAUACUAAAGUGCUUCAGAACAGAAAAGCUCAUUUGACAUUCAGAAAAUGUGUUCUUGCUAAUAUGCCCCUUGAAAGUGAAAGUAGUAAAUGUGUUAGUUGCUCAGGUGUGUCCAACUCUUUGCGACCCCGUGAACUGUAGCCUGCCAGGCUUUUCUGUCCAUGGAAUUCUCCAGACAAGAAUACUGGAGUGGGAAGCCACUCCCUUCUCCAAGAGAUCUUCCCCACCCAGGAAUCGAACCCCAGUCUCCUUCAUUGCAGGUGGAUUCUUUACCAUCUGAGCCACAGGAAGCCCCAACAUGCUCAUUAUGAAUGUUAAAAACAGCGUUUAUAUUCACUCCCAAGAUCCCUGGGGCCAAGGAAGUAUUUGUACUUGCAACAUAUUCUAAUCUAGUGAUGCUAUAAUUUAUGAGAAAAAUAAGAUAUAACUUCAUAUUAGCUCUUGGUGAGUUUUUUUUUUUUUUUUUCCUGUGCAUGUGUUUCUCCUGUUGGCUUCAAAUACUUUAAUGAAGCAUCAUUUUUGGGUUUCUGUUAUGUACCUUNNNNNNNNNNNNNNNNNNNNNNNNNNNNNNNNNNNNNNNNNNNNNNNNNNNNNNNNNNNNNNNNNNNNNNNNNNNNNNNNNNNNNNNNNNNNNNNNNNNUUUAAUGAAGCAUCAUUUUGGGGUUUCUGUUAUGUACCUUCUUAGGAAUAAAUUGUUAUUUGGAUGACUUCAGAUUGUGUAUUUCAGCCAUAGACUGUCAAUUACAGGUGAGAAGGAGGUAUGGAACAAUCCGCUUCUUCUCUUCUAGGAUCUUUUGUUUUCCCUUGAGCUUGAAGAGACCUUUUGUUUCUUGAGUCAAGAGCUCUGUCUAAAAAUCCUCUCGGUAUGAAUUCAUUAUAUUCAUGAAUUCAAAAUGGCAUCUAGAUGAUGAUGACAGUAGUAUUUAUAUUUAUAAGAGCGC